GACGAACGCUGGCGGCGUGCUUAACACAUGCAAGUCGAACGGAAAGGCCCUGCUUUUGUGGGGUGCUCGAGUGGCGAACGGGUGAGUAACACGUGAGUAACCUGCCCUUGACUUUGGGAUAACUUCAGGAAACUGGGGCUAAUACCGGAUAGGAGCUCCUGCUGCAUGGUGGGGGUUGGAAAGUUUCGGCGGUUGGGGAUGGACUCGCGGCUUAUCAGCUUGUUGGUGGGGUAGUGGCUUACCAAGGCUUUGACGGGUAGCCGGCCUGAGAGGGUGACCGGCCACAUUGGGACUGUGAUACGGCCCAGACUCCUACGGGAGGGAGCAGUGGGGAAUAUUGCACAAUGGGCGGAAGCCUGAUGCAGCAACGCCGCGUGCGGGAUGACGGCCUUCGGGUUGUAAACCGCUUUCGCCUGUGACGAAGCGUGAGUGACGGUAAUGGGUAAAGAAGCACCGGCUAACUACGUG
This 468-nucleotide ribosomal RNA is filed under the name uncultured bacterium. Its description in RNAcentral is "partial 16S ribosomal RNA". It matches the Rfam family "Bacterial small subunit ribosomal RNA", at positions 28 to 507 of the family's 1533-position model. The record is from RNAcentral.